CCUACGGGUGGCAGCAGUGGGGAAUAUUGGACAAUGGGGGCAACCCUGAUCCAGCGACGCCGCGUGGGUGAAGAAGGCCUGCGGGUUGUAAAGCCCUUUCGGUGGGGAUAUCUAACCCAAGAAAGAAGCACCGGCUAACUCUGUGCCAGCAGCCGCGGUAAUACAGAGGGUGCGAGCGUUAAUCGGAAUUACUGGGCGUAAAGCGCACGUAGGUGGCUUUGCAAGUCGAUUGUGAAAUCCCCGGGCUUAACCUGGGAACUGCAGUCGAGACUGCUUUGCUUGAGUAUGGGAGAGGGAGGUGGAAUUCCGGUGUAGCGGUGAAAUGCGUAGAUAUCGGAAGGAACAUCAGUGGCGAAGGCGACCUCCUGGACCAAACUGACACUCAAGUGCGAAAGCGUGGGGAGCAAACAGGAUUAGAUACCCUUGUAGUC
Molecule: ribosomal RNA, 431 nt
Filed under: uncultured bacterium
Lineage: Bacteria
Description: partial 16S ribosomal RNA
Rfam family: Bacterial small subunit ribosomal RNA
Source: RNAcentral